GCUACGGGAUCGUCCGAUGGUCAUCACGUGACGUCGAGCUUGACAGCUACGAGUCGUGAACUCAUCAUUCACAGGCCCACGUGCAGUUCAAAACCCGCCAGCUCCUGCUGUGAGGUUCUGAAGACGCGACGUCCUGUUUGUUUUCCCACAUCAAGAGAGCUCUUCGGUCGGAGGUCGCUCGGAGAACCGGAGGAACUUCCCUGUAAACAUUCGACGUGUGAACAUCGUGAAUGCAGAGAAGAAGGUCUCCCACUUUCUCACGCUGAAGCGUAUCAGUAUUCGUCGGGGCCUUCGAAAGCGGGACGAGAUGAGCGCCUCCAUAAUUCUGCUCUUGAAGUGGUGCGCAUUAGCAUUUAGUACUGACAGGCUGACUGAUCUCUUUCCCGUUCCGGUCGUGAUGACUGAUGCCUCUGCGGUCCUUGAAUGAAUGAGCUGAGAUGUUGUUCUUGGCCUGCUCGAGUGUUUGAAUAUGAGAGAUGAUCCUGAUUUAUCGGCCACUUGAUCCGUCAGCCAUUAUGGAGUGUGAGGUUAACGGAGGUCAACAUUCUUCCCACAUACCCGGAAAUUAAAAGCGAUCGUAACCUUUGCAUCAGUAGAGCGACUCUCUUAUCUCCUUCUUAAAGGGUCAUCGAGACGAAACAAGGACUGUCUUCUUCGAUGACUCUUUUAAUAAUCAAAUCUGUGCCAGAUAUCGUCAGUGUAAAUGCAGCCCUUUAUGCGCGGACUGACGGCAGACCUCGGGCCCUCGGCUCCAGAUGAACUGUGGGCUGUGAUCUGCGGCCCUGGCAGGACUUCAGCUCGCCCAUCUGAUUCUACACCUGCCAAACCCCACGGCCCCCAUCUGCCCUUUACAACAUGACCUCAUCGGCACGGCACGAGAGGGACGCGUGGCCUCUAAACCCCGUUCAAGCGUUUAAACAUCAACGGGCUGGAUUGGCUCUUGUGAUCUGACACCGACAGAGGACUUUAUCUGCAUCGCAGGUCAG
Puntigrus tetrazona (Sumatra barb) is the source of this 986-nucleotide long non-coding RNA. RefSeq lists it as uncharacterized. NCBI's taxonomy places the organism in Eukaryota, Metazoa, Chordata, Actinopteri, Cypriniformes, Cyprinidae. The record is from RefSeq and is a predicted model, not a curated record. The transcript is spliced from 5 exons.